GUUCUACCUUGACGAAUUGUAGUUUAAAGAAGUGUUUUCUGUUAGAGGAGUAGCAAAAGUUCCUUGGAAUGGGACAUCAUAGAGGGUGAGAAUCCCGUAUUUGGUUACUUUUUCUAGCUUUGUGAUACACUUUCAAAGAGUCGGAUUGUUUGGGAAUGCAGUCCAAAAUGGGUGGUAAAUUUCAUCUAAAGCUAAAUAUUGGCGAGAGACCGAUAGCGAACCAGUACCGUGAGGGAAAGAUGAAAAGAACUUUGAAAAGAGAGUUAAACAGUACGUGAAAUUGUCAAAAGGGAAGCGUUUGACACCAGUGUUGUUUUUCCGAAAAUCAAUUAAGAAGGACUUGAUUUUGUGUUGUAUUGACCUUAUCAGCUUUCUUCACUCUUUUUCGAGUCUUUCUU
RNAcentral lists this ribosomal RNA (398 nucleotides) under uncultured Neocallimastigomycetes. Its description in RNAcentral is "eukaryotic LSU rRNA". It matches the Rfam family "Eukaryotic large subunit ribosomal RNA", at positions 127 to 522 of the family's 3401-position model. The record is from RNAcentral. Lineage: Eukaryota; Fungi; Neocallimastigomycota; Neocallimastigomycetes.